This 69-nucleotide transfer RNA is filed under the name Limnonectes blythii (giant mountain frog). Its description in RNAcentral is "tRNA-His". It matches the Rfam family "tRNA". From Rfam's summary of the family: Transfer RNA (tRNA) molecules are approximately 80 nucleotides in length. Their secondary structure includes four short double-helical elements and three loops (D, anti-codon, and T loops). Lineage: Eukaryota; Metazoa; Chordata; Amphibia; Anura; Dicroglossidae. The record is from RNAcentral.
GUGAACAUAGUUUAAAUAAAACCCUAGAUUGUGAUUCUAGAAACGGAAGAUAAUCCCUUCCUAUUCACC